CGGACGGGUGAGCAACACGUGGAUAACCUACCUAUAAGACUGGGAUAACUUCGGGAAACCGGAGCUAAUACCGGAUAAUAUAUUGAACCGCAUGGUUCAAUAGUGAAAGACGGUUUUGCUGUCACUUAUAGAUGGAUCCGCGCCGCAUUAGCUAGUUGGUAAGGUAACGGCUUACCAAGGCAACGAUGCGUAGCCGACCUGAGAGGGUGAUCGGCCACACUGGAACUGAUACACGGUCCAGACUCCUACGGGAGGCAGCAGAG
RNAcentral lists this ribosomal RNA (263 nucleotides) under uncultured Staphylococcus sp. RNAcentral describes it as "partial 16S ribosomal RNA". It matches the Rfam family "Bacterial small subunit ribosomal RNA", at positions 99 to 354 of the family's 1533-position model. Lineage: Bacteria; Bacillati; Bacillota; Bacilli; Caryophanales; Staphylococcaceae. The record is from RNAcentral.